RNAcentral lists this long non-coding RNA (1688 nucleotides) under Vigna radiata. Its description in RNAcentral is "long non-coding RNA (VRAD_LNC015536)". The record is from RNAcentral. Lineage: Eukaryota; Viridiplantae; Streptophyta; Magnoliopsida; Fabales; Fabaceae.
AAAUGAUACUCUGAUAUAAAAUGUUUAGAAUUCUUCUCAUUACAAACUUUUUCACAGAUAAUAGUAAUAGCUGUUUCCCAAGAUGACCAAAUUUCCCUUUUGCAUAAUACUAUUAUUUUCCCCAUGUUCACCAAAUAAUCAAGACUCACAAAUACUACUGAUGUACAAUCAUUUUUCCAGUUUUCUUCCAUUCAAGAUCACAAUGACACCAGAUGUGGUGGUAAACAAACUGCAAUGGUGGAUCAAAGUUUUGUCCUUCUACUUGUGACUAACGUUUAAAAAAAAAACACCUCUUUUACUUUUUUUUUCCAAGUAACUCCACCCUUUGAGACUACUUUUCUUCAAAAUACUUCAGCAUCACGUAGAAUGAGGUUGAAACCAUCACGUGAAUGUUGGCUCCAACUUGGUAAAAUAUACGUUGGCAUAUUCACAAACACAUAGAGUCUAGGUUUUUUGCCCCCACUUUCCCCCAUUUGUCUACGUAUCCAAAACAACUAAACCAUAAAAGCAAAUUACAAAAUUACAAUGAGCAUUUAUUUGACUAGAAACUGCAUAUUGACACUAGAUUUUUCAUAUACAAAUUCCACGAUUUACUCAAUGAUUAUCACCACUGUAUUGUGUUUGUCUCGAUUUUUGCCUUCUCCCACCAGCCCCUCAUGGAGACAUUAUGCAACUAAAAACCACAAUGCAGAGCAAUGCAACACUCACAAAUCCACACAGACGGAAGGCAAAUCAAGCUUUAAGAAAAGCCAAGAUACUGAAGAUAUAAAGUAUAUUUAAAUAAAUAAACAAAUACGAAAAGUCCUAAAAGUGCAAAUUUCAAACAUAUAAACCCUGAGAAUGGCAAUUUCAAAUAAACAAACAUAAUAAUGAUCAUGCAGAAACAAUGUAAAAGAAUUUUACAGUGCAAAAUCAGACAUCGUCUUUCAUUUUUAUUUUUUUUUAAAACAAAACACUCCAAAGAUAAGAAUUCAAAUAAAACCCUGAAAGUGAAAUCUUCAAAUAAAACAAAUAAACAAGCCCAGAAUGUGAUAAAAUUGGAAUUCUCAUACAAGAAGAAAAAUAUCCGCAAACAAAAAAAAUAAAAAAUAAAUGGAAUAUUCGAAUAGAGAGACUCAAGAGACACGCCAAACCUAUAACAUCAGCAAAGAUUUAUUCUUACUAAAAUUUUUAAAAAAAAAAAUAUAUAUAUAUAUAUAUAUAUAUAUAUACACACACACAAAUAUACACACACGAAAGAAUGAAUGGAGAUCUGGAACCUUCAGAUUAUCAUCACGAGGCCGAAGGGUACAAGCGGUGGCGCGUGGAGAAAGGGAGCGAGAGAAGGCGAGCAGCAAGGAAAGUGAGUAAGAAUAUUCAGAUUGAAAACUAAAUAGAAACAUCAUAGAAUGGCGAAUGAAAACCCCUUUGUUCGUUUCUAUCAGGUUGCGUUUCAGUGUCCACAUGUUUCUUCCUUCCUUCCAUGGCGCCGCUUCCAGCACUCUCUUCACCCCCUCUCUCCCGAACCUCUUCCUUGCAACAACCCUCCCUUCUACCCUUCUUCUAUAACCGUAUUUAUAUCCCUACCUUUCAUCACAUUAUUUUUUCUAAUUACAAUGAUGUAUUAAAAAAGUAUUUUGCAAAAUUUGUUACUUCAUUAUAUUUAUUUUUUAUAUGUUUCAAUUAUUUAAUCUUAUAUUGCUUUUAAA